CACUAGUGUAAACCGUCAUUGCUGCGGUUAAAAAGCUCGUAGUUGGAUCUGAGUCGCAUGCAAUGGUUCGUCAUUGACGUUAAUCAUUGUUGUGACUAUCGGCUGGUUUUCUACUGAGAUCUCGAUCUCUUUAGUGACUAGCGAGUUUACUUUGAAUAAAUUAGAGUGCUCAGAACAAGCGUUUGCUUGAAUGUUUGAUCAUGGAAUAAUAGAAGAGGACUUCGGUUCUAUUUAUUGGUUCAGGAACUGAAAUAAUGGUUAAGAGGGACAAUUCGGGGGCAUUCGUAUCCCUGCGCGAGAGGUGAAAUUCGUGGACCGCAGGGGGACGCCCUAAAGCGAAAGCAUUUGCCAAGAAUGUCUUCAUUAAUCAAGAACGAAAGUCAGAGGUUCGAAGGCGAUUAGAUACCGCCCUAGUUCUGACCGUAAACUAUGCCAUCUAGCGAUCCGAUGGGGUAUUGUUGCCUUGUCGAGGAGCUUCCCGGAAACGAAAGUCUUUCGGUUCCUGGGGUAGUAUGGUUGCAAAGCUGAAACUUAAAGAAAUUGACGGAAUGGCACCACCAGGAGUGGAGCCUGCGGCUUAAUUUGACUCAACACGGGAAAACUCACCCGGCCCGGACACCGUAAGGAUUGACAGAUUGAAAGCUCUUUCUCGAUUUGGUGGGUUGGUGGUGCAUGGCCGUUCUUAGUUGGUGGAGCGAUUUGUCUGGUUUAUUCCGAUAACGAGCGAGACUCUAGCCUGCUAAAUAGUGACUAGAUUCAUAUUUGUCGUCUAGUCUACUUCUUAGAGGGAUAAGCGGUGUUUAGCCGCACGAGAUUGAGCGAUAACAGGUCUGUGAUGCCCUUAGAUGUUCGGGGCUGCACGCGCGCUACAAUGGAAGAAUCAGCUGGCCUAUCCAUUGCCGAAAGGUAUUGGUAAACCGUUGAAACUCUUCCGUGACCGGGAUAGGGAAUUGUAAUUAUUUCCCUUGAACGAGGAAUUCCUAGUAAGUGUGAGUCAUCAGCUCACGCUGAUUACGUCCCUGCCAUUUGUACACACCGCCCGUCGCUGUCCGGGACUGAGCUGUCUCGAGAGGACUGCGGACUACUGUAUUGAGACCUUCGGGUCGUAAUAUGGCGGGAAACAGUUCAAUCGCAAUGGCUUGAACCGGGUAAAAGUCGUAACAAGGUAUCUGUAGGUGAACCUGCAGAUGGAUCAUCG
RNAcentral lists this ribosomal RNA (1198 nucleotides) under Gurltia paralysans. Its description in RNAcentral is "SSU rRNA". It matches the Rfam family "Eukaryotic small subunit ribosomal RNA", at positions 592 to 1831 of the family's 1831-position model. The record is from RNAcentral. Lineage: Eukaryota; Metazoa; Nematoda; Chromadorea; Rhabditida; Metastrongylidae.